GGGGACUGCUGGAGGAGGUGAGUGCAGCGGUGCCACUUGGUGUAUUCUGAGCUGCACUGGCUGCAGCUGCUAACGCAGCUAGGUUCUGUAACUGCAUCGCAUUCAGUCCUCCCAUUGGGUGGAGGCUGCUCAACGUGUUCAGGUUCCCAGACGAGGCUGCUGCUGUUUGCUGAAGGAGUGCUAAGUAUUGCGGUCCAAGCGUGUUGAGACCAGCCAGGUUUCCCCAUACAGAGGCAGCACUGAUCUGUUGCAUUUGUUGCUGGAGUUGCUGAGCAAUUCGUUUCUGCUCUUUGUCCUUCUGCGUGUCUGCAAAUUUUACCACAAUGGGAGAAGAGCAACCCUCCAUGGUUUGUGCUUGGUGCAUUGCUUUGAUUGCUGUUUGCGC
Molecule: long non-coding RNA, 385 nt
Filed under: Gallus gallus (chicken)
Lineage: Eukaryota; Metazoa; Chordata; Aves; Galliformes; Phasianidae
Source: RNAcentral